Molecule: small nuclear RNA, 164 nt
Organism: Ornithorhynchus anatinus (platypus)
Lineage: Eukaryota; Metazoa; Chordata; Mammalia; Monotremata; Ornithorhynchidae
Product: U1 spliceosomal RNA
Exons: 1
Source: RefSeq, a predicted model, not a curated record
AUACUUAACUGAAAGGGGGCAUUACCACGACCACGCAGAUGGUUUUCCUGGGCCAGUGCUCAUCUGUUGCAUUGUUGUAUUUGCUGACCUUGACGUUUUUCCCAAAUGGGAGAAUCUCAGCAACAUGAUUCAUGGAGUGGAGAUGGCGUUUGUGCUCUGCCCUG